RNAcentral lists this ribosomal RNA (497 nucleotides) under uncultured bacterium. RNAcentral describes it as "partial 16S ribosomal RNA". It matches the Rfam family "Bacterial small subunit ribosomal RNA", at positions 28 to 507 of the family's 1533-position model. The record is from RNAcentral.
GAUGAACGCUGGCGGCGUGCCUAAUACAUGCAAGUCGAGCGAACAGACGAGGAGCUUGCUCCUUCGACGUUAGCGGCGGACGGGUGAGUAACACGUCGGUAACCUACCUAUAAGACUGGGAUAACUUCGGGAAACCGGAGCUAAUACCGGAUAAUAUUUCGAACCGCAUGGUUCGAUAGUGAAAGAUGGCUUUGCUAUCACUUAUAGAUGGACCUGCGCCGUAUUAGCUAGUUGGUAAGGUAACGGCUUACCAAGGCAACGAUACGUAGCCGACCUGAGAGGGUGAUCGGCCACACUGGAACUGAGACACGGUCCAGACUCCUACGGGAGGCAGCAGUAGGGAAUCUUCCGCAAUGGGCGAAAGCCUGACGGAGCAACGCCGCGUGAGUGAUGAAGGUCUUCGGAUCGUAAAACUCUGUUAUUAGGGAAGAACAAACGUGUAAGUAACUGUGCACGUCUUGACGGUACCUAAUCAGAAAGCCACGGCUAACUACGUG